CUGCCUAACAAUGAACUACC
This 20-nucleotide microRNA is filed under the name Rattus norvegicus (Norway rat). Its description in RNAcentral is "rno-miR-3566". The record is from miRBase by way of RNAcentral. Lineage: Eukaryota; Metazoa; Chordata; Mammalia; Rodentia; Muridae.